Molecule: ribosomal RNA, 515 nt
Filed under: uncultured bacterium
Lineage: Bacteria
Description: bacterial SSU rRNA
Rfam family: Bacterial small subunit ribosomal RNA
Source: RNAcentral
AAAGACUGACGCUCAUGCACGAAAGCGUGGGGAUCAAACAGGAUUAGAUACCCUGGUAGUCCACGCUGUAAACGAUGAUCACUCGUUGUUGGCGAUAUACUGUCAGCGACUGAGGGAAACCAUUAAGUGAUCCACCUGGGGAGUACGGCGGCAACGUUGAAACUCAAAGGAAUUGACGGGGGCCCGCACAAGCGGAGGAGCAUGUGGUUUAAUUCGAUGAUACGCGAGGAACCUUACCUGGGCUUAAAUGCAGGACGACGUUUCGUGAAAGCGGAAUUUCCUUCGGGACGUCUUGCAAGGUGCUGCAUGGUUGUCGUCAGCUCGUGCCGUGAGGUGUCGGGUUAAGUCCCAUAACGAGCGCAACCCUUAUCAUUAGUUGCCAUCAGGUCAUGCUGGGAACUCUAAUGAAACUGCCUACGCAAGUAGUGAGGAAGGUGGGGAUGACGUCAAAUCAGCACGGCCCUUAUGUCCAGGGCGACACACGUGCUACAAUGGCCAGUACAGAGGGUUGCGAA